UUUCUGUUGCAGAAUUCAAAAAAUUGAAAUCAAUUAAUUUUUUCCAUUUCGUUUAUGGAAUGUAGUAUGCCUUUAAGUAGUGAAAGUAAUCCACCGUUUCCAACUUAAAAUGUAUCAAAUUACUUAAAUUAAAGAAUACAUAAGGUAUAUUUAAACAACCUAAUCUCCAAGAGAGAUAGUUCUGGACACUAUCAGGAAAAAGAUAAAGUUGGGAUUGCUGCUGUUCUUAGAAAUAUACUAGAAAUGUUUGACCUGCGAAUAAUGGCAAGACAAAGUUAUUAGGCAGAAGUCGAGACAUGUGUCACAAAGAAAGUUUAAAACAACAUUUUAUGAAAUUCGACGGUGCCAGUAAAAAACUCAACGUCUUAGAGUUCACAAAAUGAAUUAACCGGGUUUCCAAUCACACAAAUGUACCAUAUGGUCGUACACAAUAUCAGAUUUUCUUAGUGUGGCUGGGUGUUUUCUAUUUGCUAGUGCUAUAGCCCAGUAUAGUCCAAGGCAUUGAAGAGAAACUUGUAAUAUGUAUGAAAAUUGGAAUAGUGACAAAAACCGUAAGCCCAGUAUUUUCAACAAUCUUCAUAUGUUAAAAAAUGAGGAAAG
Teleopsis dalmanni is the source of this 600-nucleotide long non-coding RNA. RefSeq lists it as uncharacterized. The record is from RefSeq and is a predicted model, not a curated record. The transcript is spliced from 2 exons. Lineage: Eukaryota; Metazoa; Arthropoda; Insecta; Diptera; Diopsidae.